UGGAAUUGAACGAGCCAGAACUGGAGACGAAGGAUCCCCUCUCUCUGUUGUGCAAUCUCCCUUCGAUACUGAUCCAGGGCAACCAUGGAUUAUUGGAUCCUUGACCCAAUCCUUGUUUAUUCCUGAAGGCAGAGUCAGCAUUAGUUACGAAUAUGUUCAACUGGGUGACUCUGUUGAGAGUAAUGAGUGGGUAGCUGUUGAGGUUCAGCUUGCAGGAACCGUCGUUAAAGUUGGCUACUCAAAUGCCAUUUCAGGUUUCUUCACUAUUCACAGAGCUUCCACAGCCAAUACCUAUAAAUUUCAGUUCUGUUCAACUGCUGGGUCCUGCAGUAAUGUUGGGAUUGUUAGGGAUGAAGCAGGGAACAGGAUUUUGGCCAUCAAUCAGGGUACCCCAUUUUUCGAGUUUUAUCUUCAGGAACUUCCCUAUGAAGUAUCUAAAUGAAGCUCUGAACAUGAAAACAUGGUACACUUUCUCCGUUAGAGAGAGGUGUCUACGAUGUGCUUUGGACGUAAUUAACUACACAACACUAAAUAAAUAACAUAUCCAAAGCUUAUUUCUGUUUCUUCUUUCUUUUUAAUAUUUAAAAACUUUUACCUCUCCCAAUUUAUUAUAUCAUAAUUUAUUAAAAAGAAAUAAAAUUAUAUUCUAUAAAACAUAGGAAACUGUAACUUAAAAAAAUUUAAAUAAAUUCAGUAAAAAUAUUAAACCAUUUAUAUUAUUUUUUAUAAAAAUUAAAUUAGUAAAUUAUCAUUAUAAUGAUUUUUUUAUGAAAAAAUAUGAAUUUUAAACUAUAUAUGUUUAUAAAAAUGUAAAUUUUUCUCUAUCAUUUUCUAAAACGAAAUUAAUUGUUUAUAAUAAAAAAAAAUACAUAGUGUAUAUGUUUUUACAAGGUUUAUAAAUUAUAUUAUUUACUCGAGCACCCAUAUUAUUUUACAUAAAAUGCUUCAUAACAUUUUUUUCCUCUUUUAUAUUUAUAGUAAUAAUUACAUGUUUUUGUCUAUUUAUGUUUUACUUUAUGUGAUUCCUAUAAUUUUAAAAAAGACCCAAUAUAGUCCUUAUAUUUGAUAAAGAUACAUGUACCUCAAUGUUAACUAAUUUUAUUGUUUAUAAUUCACACAUGCACAUUGAACUUUCAUAUUUCUUUUUCAUUAAAAACACUAGUCACCAUAAGAAAAAUUGAUAUUAUUAACGGUCAAAAUUUGUCUCACAGUGUUUAAUAAAACCUUACAAUAUCAUAAUGUUUCUGAUUUUUUAUGAUGACAACACAUUAUUAAUAACACAUGUAUUGAUAUGUGUUACAUGUUCGUUACUUUCCUGUGUAUGAUUACUUGAGCACAUGUUUGUGUUAAUUCUGUCAUUGUGUGCAAUUUAACUUUGUUCUACAUGAGAUAUUAUCUGUGAUUGCAUAACAUAUGAUUUGGAAAAGAAAAACCACAUGCACUUUUGUUGAACUUAUAUUGUGUGGCAAAAUAAUAGUUUUAAGUCGACUUCAUUAUGAAGCAAGUCAAUUAAAACUCGUGUCUUUGCACAAACAUUUUCAAAGUGUGCUAUGAACAGUUCUGCAAAGAAAGUUUUUCAAAACUGCAUUGAAGUGUAACUUAGUCGACUAUGUGCGCAAGCCAUUCGACUUAGUUAGUUUUGUUUUGAAAAUCUGUUAAUGCUUGUGAAGUAUAACGACUAUAUUUUGUAUCUUUGACCAAGCAUUAAUUGUUAGUCAACUGUAUUAAAUGUGUAAUCAAUUUAGUUGGUCUGAUUGCUAUUAUCUAUUAUAACUGUUAUAACUGUCUGCAUUGAGUCGACUGCAUUAGUCGCACAAUCGAUUAGUGGAGCGCCUAUUUUGUGAUAAACUAUAUAUAAAUGCGAGUUUGAUUUCAAAAAGAGACUUUUGUGAUUUCAGUGAUUCUUUUCAAAUUUUGUAGAACGUGCUAAGCUCCAAGAACUCAUCAAGAAGACCGUGGUGAUCGUUCUUUGGUGGUUGCUUGAAGAGCAAGUGUUUGUGAUGAUAGAAAGAUUGAUCAUACUACACAUAAAGGUGUUUGGAACGUGAUCGACUACUUCUCUCAAUCUUUGGAAGAUUGUAGCUGCCCUGUUCUGAUUACAGGAAGAGGAGGUGAUGCGUCCAAAGACUCUAAGGAUUGUUCAAAGUGAUUAAAGAUUGUAGGAGAGGGGAUAUCUUGUUGAUGUUCUUUGUGUGUAUAUGCCUAUAUUUUGACGUGGAGAUCUCUAUAAAAACGUUGUUGUAAAAACCUUGACCAUUAUAGUGCAUUUUCUUCCGGGUACGAGAAGGACACUAGAUGUAGGCAGUUUGGCCGAACCAGUAUAAAAAUUGCGUUCAAAUCUUCUAUCCCAACACUUUUACAUUUCAAGUCAACUUUACUUUUAACGUACUCAACUAUCUUCCGCUGCACUUGAAUUAUCUUUUUCCUUGCGAUUCAAGAAACUUUUGAAAGUUCUAUCUUUUACGAAAAAGAUUUUAAAAAGACUCUGAUUUUUUUAUUUCACCAAUUCACCCCCUUUCUUGGUGUUGAAACUAUGUCAUUCUAUUUUCAACAAUUGGUACCAAAGCUGAUUUUCAUAAGAUAUUUGAAAAACUAGUCGACUUCAUUUUUCUUUGAAUCGACUAUUCCUAGAAUAUGGCCUAUAGUUUUCAAACCUUUGGUGAUGGUGUAUCGACAAAUAGACCACCAUUGUUUGCUGGUGAAAACUAUCCUUUUUGGAAAAUACGAAUGCAAAUUUUUCUUGAAUUAGUGGAUAGAAUUAUUUGGGAUGCAACAGUAAAUGGUCCUUUUCAGCCAACUCAUAUUAUUAAUGGCAAAACAAUUUUGAAAAAAUUUUCUGAGUGGUCUCAAGAAGAAAAUUGUAGAGCACAGUAUGAUGUUAAAGCACGAAAUAUAAUUGCCUCUACGCUAACAGUUGAUGAAUUUUUCAAGAUCUCUCAUUGCAAAAUUGUCAAAGAAACGUGGGACAUGCUGGAAGUCAUACAUGAAGGCAUGGAUGAGGUCAAGAGAGCCAGAAAGAAUCCUUUAAUACAAGAGUAUGAACUUUUCAGAAUGAGGACUAAUGAAACCAUAUAUGAGGUUCAAGAAAGGUUCACUCACAUUGUCAAUCAUCUAAUGACUCUUGGGAAAGUGUUCGAUAAAGAGGAGAUCAACAUAAAGGUACUCAAAAGUUUGAAUAGAAGCUGGCAACCAAAAGUCACUGCAAUCUCUGAAUCCAAGGAUCUAAAAAGCAUGAAUAUGACUACCUUGUUCGGGAAGUUAAGUGUACAUGAACUUGAACUUGGAAGAUUGAAAGAUGAGGAAGAGAUUGAAAAAAAGAAGUUCAUAACACUGAAGGCUAUAAACAUGAAAGCCUCAAAGACUGUACAAUCUGAGGAUCAUUUUGAUGCUGAAUUGGACAACAACGAACUAAUGUCCAUGGUGGUAAGAAAAUUUAAUCAGUUUAUGAAAAAUACUAGUCAACUUACUGACCAUGUAGGAAAUAGCAAAGGAAACAAAAUUACCAGAUCAAAUGCAGUUCAAUGUUAUGAAUGCGACAAAGAAGGACACAUCAAGCCUGAUUGUCCUGAUCUGAAGUUGAAGUAGAAAACAAACAGGAGGUUCCCCAAGGACAAGAAUAGAAAGCAGAAAAGUGCUUAUCUUGCCUGGGAAAAUACUGACUCAGAAUCCUCAAGUGAUGAAGAAUGUGAUCAAUAAGAGGAAUUAAAUAUAUGCUUCAUGGCUGGAAAAUCAUUGACAAAUUAUGAUAAUGAUACAGAGUUCGAGAAAGAACCUAUUGAAGUGAAGUACGACCUGUUGCUGGAUGCAUUUUAAGAAAUACACGCUGAAGCCGACUAUAAUACAAGGUUAAUCGACUUAACUCUGAGAGAAAGGAUUAUGAACAUAUGAUAAAUAAUCUAGUCAAUGAUAAUGAUAAACUGCAAAAGGAAUUAGAUGCAACUUUAUUAUCCUACUCGGGUUGAACAAAUAGAUUACUUGACUAGUACACUAGCAAAGUUCACUCAGGGUAGAGAUAAUUUAGAUGAUGUUUUAAAGUGAUCUGGUAGAGCUAUAUACAGACAAGGUAUUGGAUAUAAAGCUCAAUCAAAUAAGACCAAUACAAAGAAGUUUGCUAACUUGAGUAAACCUGUUAAACAUACAUGUUUUUACUACAAUAACAUUGGUCACACUAUUAGAAAUUGUUUUUACAGAAAGGUUGGUGUUCCAAAAUGAAUGUAUAAGUGGGUUCCUAAGGAACAAUUGUCUGCUAACAAACAAGGACCCAAAUUCAAAUUGGUACCUGCAUCAAAAAAUGUUAAUUGUUUUGCAGGAUAGAAAGUGAGUAGUAGUGGAGAUCUCAAGGAUGAACUAAUAUGGUUAUAUCAAAUUUCUUGAGUAUCUCCAAGCGGUAACAAUCAUUUUAUGUUUGCAUCAUGUUUGAUAUGUAUGAUUGUGUGAUUGCUUGAUUGUUUAAUGAUAUGUAUGAUUGAUUGAUUUUAAUUGUUUACUGUGAAAAUCAAUUUUUACGACUUUUAGUCGAUUAGAUUAUGUGCACAGUCGAUUGCAUGUUGUUGUAUGUAUGUUUCUGUUUUUGAAAACUCUCUGUCAUACAGUAGUCAACUUUAAAAUUAAUGGAAUGGACUAGAUAUCUCUGUCAUUAGCCUUUUUGUUUUGAAAAUUUAAAAUGGGCUAAAUCUUGGUGGAACUUAAUUUGUGCCUUUAAAUAUGAUUGCUUGUAUUGACUCUACUUCAUGCAUGUUGUAAGAAAAACCCUUAUUUUUGUUCAAGAAGUCUCUACACUCUUUACAAAUCUUCAAAAAUGGCUGCUUCAUCAUCUCAACCUGGAAAGUGCUCGACUUGUACAAGAAGAGCAGCAAAUCCUUUUGGGUGGUUCAGCGAUGAUGAUCAAAGAACUGACAUUAUAUGCAAAUGGGGUUUUAUGGAAGUGAUCAGGCAUAAGUGCAUGAGUAUUCUAUUCUUCCACAAUGAAGGCUUUGCAUUUCAAGAAUGGUUUGAGAGAGCUGGCUUGACAAAGUUUGUAGAACUCCAAGGGGAUUGUUAUCCAAACCUAGUGAAGAUUUUCUAUUCAAACCUGAGAAAAGAAGGAAACAAUCUUAUAUCAAGACUAAAAGGUGUAAACAUCUGUAUAGGCUAUUUCAUUUGGAAAUAUGUUGCAAGACUUCAACAAGAAGGAUUGAUGGCACAUCAAGUAUUUCUGGUUUCUACAAAACUGAAUUAUACAACAACUUCUUGAAGAAUCCUUACUUGGUUGGUAGAUAUGAAUCCUUUGGCAUCGAGAACUUAAGUAAGGAAGAAAGCUUGUGCGCAUAUAUGAUUACUUGGAUACUACUUCCAAGGGAUGAAGAUCAAUCACUGCUGAAUGGUGAAGAUAUAUACCUAUUGUAUGCCUUACAAACUGGUACUCCAACAAACUAAGCCUUAGUGAUUAGUGAUUAUAUGUUAAGGUUUGCAAAACGAAAAGAGUAUUAUCUACCAUACGGUGUCUUCAUCAGUAAAAUAUUAAGAAUGCAAAAUGUGGAUCUCAAAAAUGAAAAAACUAUUGGUUGCAACAAGAACAAUGUUUUGGAGAAAUUGUUUUUAGAUUCUGUGGGAUUCAGGAAAGUGAAAGAAGGCUGGAUAUUCAAGAAUGACUACAUUCCUAGUACUGAAGAUAUGAGUCCUAUAAACAUUGAUUUAUCCAAAUACAAAUUUCUACCCCAAACAAUAUUUGAAGAAUUUGUGGAUGAAAGGUUCAAAAGACUUAAUGAAAAGAUGAUAGUGCUGCAAAAAUCACUCAUAAAGCUGCAUAGAAAGAUGGACUAUGCACUAAGGAUAAAUGCCUUUUUAGAUACCUCAGCGAAUGAUUCUGAUAGUGGAAAGAACAACACUGACAAAAAGAUUAUAGAGUCUUCCAAAACAAAAUAGGGUCUUGUGUUUACAACAUUGUGUCAUGAGUCAUGUUUGAUGAAGUGUUUCGUCAUUUUAGUUUGAGUGUUUUAGUUUCUUUUGGAAUAGGCCUUAUAUGGCACUGUCUUUGAGAUAUCUGAUUGUAACACCCUUUUGGAAUAUUAAUGAAAUCAGAUGUUUUUUUUUUUUUUUAAUUUGAUCAGUGUUAAUUUGAUAAUUGAAAUCGUUUAAAUCAAAUUAAAAUGGACUCUGUGUUGACUGAAGUUGAUUAUGUUGUGUUUAUCUUUACAUUGAUAUUUUUGCAUAUUCACUUCUUAACUGUAUAAUUUCUUUCAUUAUAAUGAUUCUAAAAUGCUUGAUCUACAAAAGAUCUUGAAAGGUUUUGCAGGAACUGGAUAAACUACUGGAGUUUCUACUCAAUGGAAAGCAAUGAAAUCGAUUGCCAAUGAAGAACAAUCGACUACUGGUUUACAAGGGUUAUAAAUUCCAUUUAUUGGAAUUUGGUUUAUUGAUCUCAUAUCAUAUACAGUUUCUUUCAAUAUAUCUAUUUCUUUGAUUGAUUGAUAUAUUUGAGAUAUUAUUGAGAUUGUUGAUUGAUUGUAUCUAUGCUUAAUUGAUUUUAUUGUACAAUUUUUGGUUUUGAUACAAUUCUGUCACAUGAUUUUAAUAUGCUUUGAAAUCUGUAAAAACUGCAUUGUGCAUCUGGGUUUUGAUUAUAAAACAUGCAUAAUGACAAGGGGAGCAUUGCAUGAUAGAUUAGAUAUUUCACAUGCCUACACUUAAGGGGGAGAUUUUUUAUUCUGUUUGUUAUUCUUUUCUUUGUUUCUUGGCCAGGAGUGCAAGGUCUUGAGUGUGAGGUGUGUUAAGUUCACAAUUCACCAUGUUUUUAUGAGUUAAAUCACUCCUUUUUGAGUAACUUUUAGUUCUUAUAUGAUUUUGAGAGAUUAGAUUUGUCUUUUCAUGAUAAAAUAGUUGUUUUGAUGAAUUUGUGCUAAUGAGGUGUUUUUAGAUGCGUUUUUUUUUUCUUAGGAUUGUGCUAGUCUUGUUUUAGUCUUUGUAAGUGUAAAUUUCAGUUUUUGAAGCUAACUUCAUGAGGAUUUUUCCAACUUUUUAAUGCAGAGCAAUUCAGUGACUUAGUGUUUUGUUAGGUAAGUAGGUAAGUAUGUUUUGUUAGGUUGCCUUGAUUUAGAAAUUCUAAUUCUGCAGUUCUUUUUGCUUCAACUAGUUUGAUUUAUCUAUAAAUCAUGUUCACUCAUAUAUGUUUGCAUCUUGCAUUGCAUGGUUGAAUCAAGCCAAUAGACAAAAUUCACAUUUGAUGAUAGAAGCACCAGUGUGUUGUUUGAUGCCAAACUAGAUUCUAGUUAGUGAUUUUCGUUUCUGCAUGCAUUUCUUGUUUGUUGCAGUCAUUGCAUAUUCAUUUUCUGCUUUUUUGAUUCAUUGAAGCAUUUUUGCAAAUAAUUUGGUAAAACUGCAUGUUCAUUCAAGCAUUUCAUUAAAUAGUUUGAGAUUUCAUAAUUAGGCAUAGCUUUUCGUAAUUGUAAGCAUCCCAACAUAUUACAUUAUAUCAUUCUUACUGUUUUAAGUAAUUCUUAUUUUCUAACCAGUUUAAUACCAUUUCAUGAUGAAUUAGUCAUCUACCUAAUGCAUAAGCAUACUAUUCUAUCAUAGCUCAUUUUAAAAAUAGUAUUUUACAUACAUUUUAAUUCAUUUUAUCAUUUCCCCAUCUUCUUGCGAAAACUUAACACUAACUAAGAAACAGAUUAGCUUUCAUACCAAUUUGUUGUACAAUUCAAUGCCAAAAUUAUUCUAAAGAUAAGAACUUGCAGAAAGGGUAAAACAAAUCACACAUUGGGAAAUGAUGAUUCAAUAAUUAUAUAAAGUUAUAAAUAUUAUGAAUUAAUGAUUUUUUAUUGGUUUUCUACAAUUACUCGUAUGUUUUUAUUUUUUUUUCUGAGAUUUAUCUAUUUUUAUUAACUAUUUGUAAAAAGUAUCAUUUGGGUUGAAUUUUAUAUUUAUAAAUAGGAUUUUUCAUCUUAAUAAUAUAAUACAUAAAAUUAGUCUUCAUUCUCUUUUAUUUUCUCUUUUUCCUCUUUUUUUUUUCUUCAUUAUCAGCUUUAUAUUUUAUAACAAUAAAUACAUAUAUCAUAUUCUGUUUAAAAAAAAAAGAGCCUUAUUUCAUCCUUCGUAUACAAUGCGUAUUCUAUUCAACCUUACAAAGGGACACAAAGUUCUUACAAGUAAGUUAAACCUACAAACAAAAUCUAAAUAAUAGAAAAUGUAUGUAUAAGACGAUUGGUCCACCAACCUGACAUUAAUACUAGACAACGUCUACAAUUGUUUGAUGAUUUUCAAGGGAAGACAUCUACAUUUUGAACACAUAGUUUUAUUUAUUAUUAAUAAAAUUAUACAAAAGAAUAAUCAUCUAGUAUUCCUAAACUAGUUAGGAACUAAACCAUUCAGGUCUUAACAAUAUUUAAUUUAAGACUAAAUUUUGUAUGAAUAAAUAAAAACUUUCUUAUGUCCAUUAAUCAACAAAAAUAUGAUUUCUAUUUAUGUUAUAAGUUUUCAAUAAUAAUAGAGAAUAAAAAAGAAAUAAUUUUUAAUUUAAAAAAUAGUUUUCCACUUAAUUACUAUAAUAAUUGAGUAUUUCUCUCUAAAUUACUUAACAAAAUAAAUUUUUAGUUUUAAAUGACCAACUUGCAAAUUAAUACAAAAAUUGUCUGAUAAUUAAAUCAAUCAAAAUAUAAUAUAUUUUGUGGUGAAUAAUAUACUUUACGCAGGAUAAGGAUGACGCUUUUGGCGUACGAGGCUUUGAUGGUCCCCAAACAAUAAAUAGGGGCCAAGUUUAAUGUAAUGUGCGGCGAAAAUUACAUAGACACAAUUUAGGUCUUGGUCCCAAACAUCACAAUCCUUCUGCCAAUAAUUACAUAGACACAAUUUAGGCACGUGAGAGCUAAUUUUGUAAUCAUUUCAUCGGAUGUUCUCGAAGGGAUAUGUAGGACAGUGUUUUCUAAAUUGAAUUAAUUAAUUUUAGCAUAGUGCUUAAUAAACAUUAGAGCUUUCAAUUUCACAUUCACACAGAAAGUAAUUGGCACGGCCUAAAAGGAUAAUAAGUAACUAUCCGAUAAAUAUACUAAUAAACACAAUUCAAUAAGUUCUAUUUAGUAAUAUUGGUCCAAUUAGAUAAAUAUUGUUAACAAAAGAGAUUUUUUUGAUUUAGUUAUCAUAUAUUAAAGUAUAAUCAAAUAUUAAUAGUUUGAAAAUUGAUGUAAGAAAUAUUUUUUUAUAUCUUAUAUUAAUAAGAUAUAUGAUUAAUUUGGUUUAAUGGUAUAUUAUAUAUAUAUAUAUAUAUAUAUAUAUAUAUAUAUAUAUAUAUAUAUAUAUAUAUAUAUAUAUAUAUAUAUAUAUGGGUUUGCUAACUUGCGUAUGUCUAUUUUUCAGUUAGUACAAUUUAGCAAUGUAUAUCGGGUUUCAGUAGACAAAAAUACUCCUAUAUAUCAUGAAUUCUAAGUUUUAAGGUUAAGGGUAUUUUAAUAAUUUUCAUUCUCAAAAUUAAAAAAAUAAAAAAAAAAACCCAAACUCUUACCCAUCUCUCUCGUUCCUCUCGACCAUUUCUCUUUCAUCUCUUUCACUCCAACCUUUUCUCUGUCAUCCCUACUCUAGCUCCAAUUGAAAAAAAAUCAGAAACACUUGCCUUAUUUUAAUAAUUUUCAUUCUCAAAACUAAAAAAAGAAAACCUCAAACCCUUACUCACCUCCUUCAUUCCUCUCAACCCUUUCUCCUUCAUCUCUCUCACUUAAACAUUUUCUCUAUCAUCUCUGCACUAGCCCUAACUAAAAAAACAUUCAUUAUUAAACGAUUUACUUUUGUAAAGAGUUGAGUCAUAUUCACCUUUCGAAAAAAGUUCAUUCAAAAUCUCUUUAAUUUCAUUAUCUUCACUAUAUAUAUUACAGCCGACGGGCACAACUUGCACCAAGACUUAUGAGCAUCCUUCCUUUACAUUCCUUUACAUUCUGAGACUACUACGUAACAUUGCUCCCUGGCCAUUUAAUUUUUUUGGUAGAAAUUCAUUAACUUGUUUUCCUUUACUAAAGAAAAAAACAAAUCAAAAUACAAUAAAAUUCUCAAUUAUAAAAUCAAACAAUAAAAAUUCUAAAUCUUGAAAUUUUAUUUAUAAUUAUAUAAAGAAAAAAUUAGGUGCUUUAAUUUUUUUAUUUAUGUAAGUAUUUUUUUUCUUNNNNNNNNNNNNNNNNNNNNNNNNNNNNNNNNNNNNNNNNNNNNNNNNNNNNNNNNNNNNNNNNNNNNNNNNNNNNNNNNNNNNNNNNNNNNNNNNNNNNNNNNNNNNNNNNNNNNNNNNNNNNNNNNNNNNNNNAUAUAUAUAUAUAUAUAUAUAUAUAUAUAUAGGUUUGUUAAUGCGCGUACACUUGUUUUUCAAUUGGUACAUUUUAAGAAUGUAUACCAGGUUAUAGUAGACAAAAAUACCCUCAUAUAUUAUGGAUUCUAAGUUUUAAAGUCAAGGAUAUUUAGAUAAUUUUCAUUCUCAAAACUAAAAAAAGAAACCCCCAAACCUUUACUCCCCUCUCUCAUUCCUCUCAAUCCUUUCUCUAUCAUCUUUUUCACUCCAACCUUUUCUCUAUCAUUUCUACUGUAGUCCCAAUUAAAAAAAAAAUCAGAAACACGGGCUGUUAAACAAUUUCUUACAAAAAAAAAAAGAUUUUAUAAUGAGUUUUCAUUUUAUAAUUUUUGUCUUAUCUAAUUUUAUCUAAUUUUCACAAGCAUAAUGAUAUAUGAAGGAAUUGGUAAUUCGCCUGGAAAAAAAUCAGAAACACUCGCUAUUAAACAAUUGGUUUAAACCUCUUUUUUAUAACUUAGGAAUCAAAGGUUUACAUUUUUAAAAGCGGGGACUAAACUGAACAUCCGCUCAUAACUUAGGGACCAAAAAGAGGUUUAAACCUAAACAAUUUCUUACAAAAAAAAUGAUUUUAUAAUGAGUUUUCAUUUUAUAAUUUUUGUCUUAUCUAAUUUUAUCUAAUUUUCACAAGCAUAAUGACAUGAGAAUGAAUUGGUAAUUGGCCUGAAGGUUUUUUAAGAGAUGAUGAUUCAACAUCUGCAGAUGAUGUAAUUAGAGAGGUUAGUGAAGAUGAUGAAAUUGAAGAACCUUUGUCUGAAGGCGAAUAUGUCAAUGACUCAACUCUUUACAAAGGUAAAUUGUUUAACGACGAGUAUUUCUAAUUUCUUUUUUCAGUUGGAUCUACCAUAGGAUGAUAGAGAAAAUGUUGGAGUGAGAGAUGAAAGAGAAAGGGUUGAGAGGAAUGAGGGAGGUGAGUAAAGGUUUGGGAUUUCUUUUUUUAGUUUUGAGAAUGAAAAUUAUUUAAAUAUCCUUGACUUUAAAACUUAGAAUCCAUAAUAUAUGAGGGUAUUUUUGUCUAUUAUAAUCCGAUUAAAAUGUACCAACCAGACAUACACGGGUAAGAUUUCAUUAUUUGUUGAUAUUGUCUAUUUUAUGAUUUUAUAAUAUCAAAAACUCUAUAAAUAUACGAGAUGUUUUUUAGUGAGUACAAUAUAAUUCAUAUUCAUUAUUUUAAUUUUAUAAAUACUGAAACUAUCUUAUAUUAUCCAUUAUUCACUAAUAUUUUUAUUAUGGUAGAAUAAUUUAUUAAAUAUAUGUAGAGAAUACAUGUCAAAUAUUUUUUUUUUUUCCUUUUGGUAACACCUGUCUCAAUUUGGGCUACAAGUUAUAAUAAUAUUCACAAUAAGAAGAAAGGAGUCAAUGCACACUCUGUUCCAAAUUCUGUAUAUCCUUGUGGAUCUCAUCUAUUUCAGUAAAAAGAUUAAUGAGUCACACCCGAAGAAAUCUUUGAGAUAUAUAAUGAAAGAAUCACAAUAUUAUUUGGAUGAUUCAAUAAAACACCUUAUGGAAACUUUACCAAUCAACUUCUUGGCAGCAUUUGAUGAUGCUGUUAGUAUUUUGAGUUUGUGAAAAAAAUAGUUUAUAGGAUAGAGAAAAUAUGGAAAUAGUAGAAUGUAAAAAUAAUAGUUUGAAGAAGUAUAUUUUUUUAGUUGUCUUAGUUGUGGUAGAUGUUGUUUUACAUCAAAUUAUGGAGUAUAUGAGUAUUUAUAGACCCAUAGAUUAUUUUAGAAAAUGCUAACCACAUCUUUUGUGGAAUGCUCUAGAUAUUUACUUAUGUAGAAUGCUCUUGAUUUUUUUCUUCCCAUCUUAAAUUUUCCUAUAGUAUUCUAGAAUUUGUAUUACAUUUUAAUACUUCUAUCUUAGGAUUUUCUAUAUUAUUCUAGAAUUUGCAACACAUUUUAAUACUCUUUCUUGAUGCAAAUUCAGCUCCAAGCAUAGAGCAUAGUAGCUCAAAUCUUGGUCUUGGUAACACCUAUGUAAAAAUAUCUGCAAUUUGGUCUUCUAUUGGACAAUACUCGAGUUGAAUUUGCUUAGUUGUCUGUUUAUUUCGAAUGAAGUGAUAUUUAAUGGCUAUAUGUUUUGUUCUUUGAUGAUGGACUGAAGUUUUUGCUAUUGUUGGUAUCGAUUUGUUGUCAUAAUAGAUAAUGGUCAUCCAAUCUUGUAGUUGACCUAUUUCUUCAAGUAUUCUUCGUAGCUAAAUUACUUAACUCGUGAUUUCAGCAGUUGCUACAUACAUUUCUUUUGUUGUUGAUUGUGCCACAAUUACUUGCUUCUUUGAUACUUUAUAAUGAAUUUGACUUGGCUUUUGCAUGAAUCUUGAUAGAAGACUUGUAGCAUACGUAAUGUCCGGGUGUGCGGUUGUGAGAUACAAGAUACUUUCACUUAAACUCCUGCAGCGUGAUGCAUUUGCCUCUUAUGCUUCAUUAUCUUUUUGCAGCUUCUCGUUUACCACAAAUGGAGUAAUUACAUGUCUACAAUCAUACAUCUUGAAAUUCUUUAAUAGAGUUUCAAUAUAUUUCUUUUGAGAGAUAAAUAUACCUUCUUUUUCUUGUUUCACCUCUAUAUCGAGGAAAUAGUUCCUCAAGCGAAGGUCGAUCAUCUUAAAUGUCUUCAUUAUGUCUUCUAUAAAUUCUUUCAUCAUCUCCGUUUUUUUCCAGUAUAGAUAAGAUCGUCAAUAUAUAAGGAGAUAACGAGAUGAUACUGAUCUUGUGCCUUAAUAUAUAGUGUUGGUUCACUCUUACUCCUCCUGAAUCCUUGAUCGAUGAAGUAUUGAUCAAUCUUGCUAUACCAUGCUUGAGGAGCUUGCUUCUGGUCAUAUAAGGCAUUUUUUUGUCUUAGUACUUUUCCUUCAUUGUCUUUGUUGAUGAAGCCUUGUGGUUGUUCAACAUAAAUCACUUCUUUGAGCACUCCAUUUAGAAAUGUUGAUUUGAAAUCCUGUUGAUAGAUGUUCCAUCCUUUUUGUGUUGUAAGAGCUAUUAAAGCUUUAAUUGUAUCUAAGCGAGCAAUUGGAGCAAAUGUCUCAUUGCAGUCUAUUCCUGACUAUUAUGAGUAGCCUUUAGAGACAAAUUUUUCCUUAUGUUAUAUGUUUUGGAUGUAGGGUCAAGGAUCUCAACAAAACACUCCUUCACCCUUUCCUUUGAGUCAACUUAGGUUAUCUUGAAUACUCUUAGUUAAAAUCCUUUCUAGUCCAAGCUUCAAACUGUCCAGGUGUACCUGUCAAAGGCACUAUGAUGCUCAACAUCUCGACUAAAGGUGAGUUCUUUUGUUUGUAAGUUGUAGAAUUGAUAGCCUUUUAAUUAUGUGUUAUAUCUCAAGAAUAUUCGUCGUAUAGUCUUGUCUUCAUGUUUGUGCCUCAUUUGAUCAAGAACAUGUAUGUAGUAAAUAAAUCCAAAUACUCGUAGGUUUUUAACUAAUGACUCUCUUCCCCUCCAAGCUUCAAUAUGAGUCUUGUCUUGGAUUACCCUAGAUGGACAUUUGUUUAAAAUUUAAACUCUAGUAUAGACUGAUUAAGCCCAAAAGAGUUAGGCAUAGCAUUGAUCUUGCCAUCUCCAUGACUAAGCAAUUCUUUCUCUCUGACACACCAUUUUGUUGUGGAGUAUAUGCGAUUGUAAGUUGUCGUUCUAUGCCUUCAUCGUCGUAGAAUUUGUCAAACUUAUGAGAUAUGUAUUGUUUGCCAUGAUCACUUCUAAGUACUUUUAUCUAUUUUUCUCUUUGCUUCUUGAAAAGAGCCUUGAAAUACUCCAAAGACUUCUGAAUUUUCCUUUAAGAAAUAGAUUCAUGUCAUUCUAAAGAAGUCAUCAAUGAAGAAGAUGAAAUACAUGUUGUGAUAUGUGAAGUUGAGAGAAACACUAGAAAAGGGGUUGAAUAUUGUUUCUAUAUAUCUUUCCGAGACUAAUAUAGUGAUCAUGAUUUGAAUGAUCUUCAUGAGCUAGUUAAAACAUACUUUAUAAGUUAUUCUGAUGAACAUAUUUAUAGUCUUGGGUUUAGCUCAUCCUUCUAGUGGUUAUGAAGGAGCGAAUCUAGGAAAAUGUGGUGUAUGUUGAAGGUGCAUAUGUUGAGAAAUUGUUUUCCACAUAGGAUGAUUUUUUUUUCAAACUAAAGCAUAACACACACAUUUUAUACUGGUUCACUCAAUUGAGCCAUGUCUAUUUUUUCUCUAAAAUAACUUAACCCACUCCUGGUUGUACAGUAUUCUUCACCACUCUUGGUAUCCCUAGACGUUACCCGGUAUCCUCCAAAUACACUCGUCUAGUUGAGUUCACUCACUCCUAGUUUUCACUAGACAUACCCGUCUAGUUACCGUUUAACUCCACCAAAUUAAACGUUAGAGUUUCACCUACUCCUAGUUUCCAUUAGACAACCUAUCUAGCUAUUUUUUAACUCCUUAAAGUUAAACAUACAGUGUUUUAAUUCUCUUAAUAAUUUACAAUCAACAGAUUGAUUACAAGUCCUUAGAUGAUAACUCUCAUAGAGAGGAUAUGCAUUCAGUGCAAUUCAAUCUAAAAGAUGCAUUGAGUGUUUUCUCUCUUCUCUUUGUUAGAAAAAUCAUGAAGAUAAAAUUUUUAAUGAUGCCCAAAUCAAGUCUCAAGCGUUCACCUUGUCUUCCUGAAGACUUUUUUUAUGUUUUAAAGCUUUUGUAAUAAGUAGAUCUAUGUAUAGGGCUUUAUUUGUUGUUGAUUCAAUGUAUUGUUUGCUUUAAAGUUCGUUUUGGAAUCACAAAAACCCUGCAAUAAUUGAUUAACACUUAAGAUAAUCGAUUAUCACAAAUAGGUUUUUAAAAACUCAUUUUUUUCUCUAGAAGAAUCGAUUACCAGCGUAUGAUAAUCAAUUAUGACUUACCAUAAUCGAUUAUCAUAACUAGCCGUUGGAGUUUUUAGGCAUGUUUUUUAUACAAAUUUUGUAUAUGGAUAUCAGAAGGUAAAAUCCGUAUGUAAAAUCCGUAUAUAACUCGUUUUUCAGGAUCUGCAUGUAAAAUCCGUAUGUAAUACCUAUGUUACAUACGGAUCAAAAUCCGUAUGUAAAUAUCAGUAGGUAAUAACAAUUUUUCUUGUCCUUAGCUCAUCAUCCUUGGACCAUUUACCACCACAUUUCCAAACCCUUCAUCGAAGGAAACACCCCUACAUGCACAUCUCCUAGCUUUGGCCCAACCUAACCAAGGAGGUUGCCAUCACAUUAGAAGAAAGACAUGUGAUAAAAAUCCUCUCCAUUAGAAGGAGGACAUGUGGUAAAAAUCCUCUCCAUUAGGAGGAGGACAUGUGGCAAAAAUCUUGUCCAUUAGGAGGAGGACAUGUGGCCACUACCUAUGGAAAAUCCUCUCCAAUGUGAGCAUAAUGCAUGACCGCUCUCACAAAGGUUGGACGACCCACUCCCUUACUCGCCAAGCUAGGUUGAAAACAUUGACCCUUUGGUCUACCUAGCUUAUGGACGUCCACUUGGGUCAACAUUGGACCUUGGCCUUUGUUGAAUCAAGUGGUCUAAAAACCCUACACCAUUUUGCCUAAAAUACAAGGCCCAAAAUAAAACCUACACUACUUGGCCCAAAAUAUAAGGCCAAAUUUAUUCUACUCCUAGUUAAACCUUCAGAUAUACAAUGUCAACAAGCAUAUAAAAGAAUACAAGAACAUUUUACCUGCGAAGGGUAAAGAUGGGAUGAUGGCAUCCACUUUCCUGAUGACGUCGACAUCUUUGAGACGAAGGAUGGUGUUUAUGACCAUUGAAACGUUUUUCAUGUUGGUGAGUUCCAUGCUUGUAAGCCUCACUUAUUUUUGCAAAUCAGAACCUAGCAUGGUUAGCAGCCAAAGAGGAAAACGCAACAAAUUUCAUACGUGGAGGCAGGAUAAAGUUUUACUUGACCCAACAGUGGGCACCAAGUGAUCUUAACAAGAUCAUGAGCGUGGAUUUGCAUAUAGAUGGAAAGAUCCUAGUGGUGGCUUGAAAGCUCUUGCUGGUCAGAAUCAAAUCCCUUGUUGUUGAAAGGUGAGAGAUUUACAUGCAAAAGACUCUUCUACACUAUCAGUAAAAGUGUUUAGAUUUUUAUAAAUAUAGUUGAGUAUGAAUGAAUAUUUCUUAGGAAGUACUAGUUGUAUUUAUAGAAUCAAUAUGAACCGUGAAUCUAUUUUUCUAUGGGAAUAAUGCUUACCUCAAGUAUAUAAUAAAAAUGUAGUUAAUAAUAAUAUAAUGAUGCAUAUCAUAAAUAAUAGUCAUAAUAUUAAUUGUGAUAUGUGGAUAUUAUCUUAAUAGAUAUAAGAUUUGACUGCUUUAGAAUAACGAAACUUAAUGAACCUUAUUAUUAUAUCAUGUUCUUUAAUAUAUCUAUUCAAUCGAGUAAAAAAUAUAUAAAAUUAUUUCAUUUUCAUUAUAUAGGAAUUCAUCACUAACAUCUUUUUACUCUAUUACACUAGUGCAAAAUUGGGCUUUAACGUCACCCCAUAGACGUCAGAACAGAGAACACGCAACAUAAAUUAUUGACCGGUGGCAUUUUCGUAAAUAAGUGGGCAUAUAGACGUCAGUUCGGAGGGGCACCAACGUCUAUAACAUACUAGACGUCGAGGCCCCUCCUAACUGACGUCUAUAUGCCUGAGAGGUAGGUGAAAAGUCACUUCUUUCGGCCAUAUAAAUGUCGUUUAGGAGGGGCACCGACGUCUCUAAUAUUACAGACGUCGGUGCCCCUCUAACCGACGUUUAUAUGCCUGUCAGGUAGGUGAAAAGUCAUUUCUUUCCGCCAUCUAGACGUCAGAUCCUGCCAUACUGACGUCUAUAUGCGAUUAUAGACGUCGGCGCCCCCUUCAUUUGACGUCUAUAUGUACCACGAAUAUUAAUUUUUAAAUCGAAUGGACGUCUCAUUAGUGAGAGCCCCGACGUAUAUUCGAGAACAGACGUCAGUUGCUGGGGAAACCAACGUCUGAUAUUCUUUUAAAUAAUACAUUACAAACCAACAGUUACGCGUACUUCAUCGUCUUCCUUCGCAUUGCAUUUCGAGGUGCGUUUGAUCUCUUGUGAACAAUUUAGCCUUAUGUUUACUCCAAUUAAAGUAAUCUUUGAUGUAUUAUCUUUCGUUUGAACCGAUUAAAAUGAGUGUUGUGUUUUGGUGCGGUUUUUCUUGUGUCUUUGGGUAGUGUAGUGCACCUUCUCCCUUUGCUAGCUUUCCUCGUAAGAAAAGCUUGCGUCUUUUGGAUAUCUUAUGGCAUAUCAACCGAAAGCCAAUCCUGGGUCCUUACCUAGUUUGCAUGUCACCAUAUUAUUUUUCUUUGGCGGUUGGAAUGGAACUAGGCAACGACCCAUGUUCUGUUUUGGGUUGAAAUGCCAUAAGAGAUGCAAAAGACACAAGUUUUUCUUACGAAGAAGCUAGGAAGGGGGUGCUACAAUGCUACCCAAAGACACGAGCAAAACUGCAUUAAAAUACAACGAGUACUCAGUAGACGUCGGUUAAUGCCAUGUCCGACGUCUAUUGUGCCCUUAGACGUCAGUUAGUGCCAUGUCUGGCAUCCUUAUAGUGUCCUUAGACGUCGGUUAGUGUCCUGUCUAACGUCUUUAUAGUGCCCUUAGAUGUCGGUUAUAAUUGCAUUGACUGACGUCUGUAUAAAUGUCAGACAUGGAACUAAACCGAUGUCUGUAAUGACGUCGGACCUGUAGAGUCCGACGUCCGAUUAACGUCACCCAUAUAGACGUCAAGUCUGAAUGUGACGUUAAAAGCCCAAUAUAACAAAUAUCUAAAACCCUUUAUGCACUAAUGAUUCUAUCAUAAGUAACUUUUUGUUUUCUCAUCUUAUAUAAAACAAAUAAAUAUAUUAAAAGAAACUUUAGAAUAUUUAAAUACUUAAAAAUAAAUGUUAAAAUACUUAAAUACUUUAGGAUAUUUAAAAACUUAAAAUAAAUACUUAAAUACUUUAGAAUAUUUAAAAACUUAAAAUAAAUACUUAAAUACUUAAAAUUCUGCAUCGUUAAAAAUUAAAUCCUUAAAAUAAAUUUUAUUUAUUUAGUUUUAAAAGAAACUUUUAGACAUUUAAAAUAUAUAAUUGACCUUUUUUAAGAUGAAAUAAAAAGAAUAUAUUUUUACAGAAUAAAAUAAAAAAUUGGUCUAAAACUGAAAAAUCUAAUUAAAAUUUGACAGGUAUAAAAAGAUAAUAAAUAUAUGUUUAACUACCCAAAAUUUUAAGAAUCUUAUUUUACAGAAAAUCGAAAAAUAUAUUUAAAUCUAACUACUAUUGUACUUCUUUCAUCUUUUUCACAUGUUUAAAAGUUUUAAGAUAUUUUAUUCAUUUCUAUUCACAAAAGAGUUCACCUUAUCACCGGAGGUAGCUCUAUAAAUGAAUUCUCCCACAACUCUGCUUAUUCACACAACUGAACUGAAGAAAGAAGAGAAAAACCUUAAUCUGUUUCAUAGCCAGCCAAAGAAAUGGCGAGUGCAACGCUCUUUGCUAUCUUCCUUCUUUCUGCCAUAACUUUCUACCCUCCUUCAACCACUGCUCAACCUGUCACAGACGGGGAGGGUAACAUCGUUAGAAAUGGUGGCCGAUUCCAUAUAAGGCCAAUCUAUUUUGGAGGCGGCGGUGGAAUUGAACGAGCCAGAACUGGAGACGAAGGAUCCCCUCUCUCUGUUGUGCAAUCUCCCUUCGAGACUGAUCCAGGGCAACCAUGGAUUAUUCGAUCCUUGUUCAAAUCUCAAUUUAUUCCUGAAGGCAGAGUGAGUAUCAGUUACGAAUAUGUUGAACUCGGUGACUCUGUUGAGAGUAAUGAGUGGGUAGCUGUUAAGGGUCAGCCUGAAGGAACCGUCGUUAAAGUUGGCUACUCAAAUUCCGUCUCAGGUUUCUUCACUAUUCACAGAGCUUCCUUUGCCAAUAGCUAUAAAUUUCAGUUCUGUUCAACUGCUGGGUCCUGCGGUAAUGUUGGGAUUGUUAGGGAUGAAGCAGGGAACAGGAUUUUGGCCAUCGAUCAGGAUACCCCAUUCCAGUUUUAUCUUGAGCAACUUCCCUCUGAAGUAUCUAAAUGAAGCUCUGAACAUGAAAAAUCGUACACUUUCUCCGUUGGAGAGAGGUGUCUACGAUGUGCUUUGGAUGUAAUUAACUACCCAACACUAAGUAAAUAACAUAUCCAAAGCUUAUUUCUGUUUCUUCCUUUCUUUUUAGUAUUUAAAAACUUUUACUUCACUGAAGUUAUUAUACGAUAAUUU
Molecule: long non-coding RNA, 19466 nt
Filed under: Vigna radiata
Lineage: Eukaryota; Viridiplantae; Streptophyta; Magnoliopsida; Fabales; Fabaceae
Description: long non-coding RNA (VRAD_LNC015098)
Source: RNAcentral